CCUACGGGUGGCUGCAGUGAGGAAUAUUGGUCAAUGGCCGAGAGGCUGAACCAGCCAAGUCGCGUGAGGGAAGACGGCCCUACGGGUUGUAAACCUCUUUUGUCGGGGAGCAAAGCGAACCACGUGUGGCUCAUUGAGAGUACCCGAAGAAAAAGCAUCGGCGAACUCCGUGCCAGCAGCCGCGGUAAUACGGAGGAUGCGAGCGUUAUCCGGAUUUCUUGGGGUUAAAGGGUGCGCAGGCGGAGGUGCAAGUCAGCGGUAAAAUUGCGGGGCUCAACCCCGUACUGCCGUUGAAACGGCAUCCCUUGAGUGCGCGAGAGGUAUGCGGAAUGCGUGGUGUAGCGGUGAAAUGCAUAGAUAUCACGCAGAACUCCGAUGGCGAAGGCAGCAUACCGGCGCGCAACUGACGCUCAGGCACGAAAGCGUGGGUAUCGAACAGGAUUAGAUACCCGGGUAGUC
This 459-nucleotide ribosomal RNA is filed under the name uncultured bacterium. RNAcentral's name for it is "partial 16S ribosomal RNA". It matches the Rfam family "Bacterial small subunit ribosomal RNA", at positions 338 to 795 of the family's 1533-position model. The record is from RNAcentral.